CGCGGCCUAUCAGCUUGUUGGUGAGGUAAUGGCUCACCAAGGCGUCGACGGGUAGCCGGCCUGAGAGGGUGACCGGCCACACUGGGACUGAGACACGGCCCAGACUCCUACGGGAGGCAGCAGUGGGGAAUAUUGCACAAUGGGCGCAAGCCUGAUGCAGCAACGCCGCGUGAGGGACGACGGCCUUCGGGUUCUAAACCUCUUUUAGCAGGGAAGAAGCGAAAGUGACGGUACCUGCAGAAAAAGCGCCGGCUAACUACGUGCCAGCAGCCGCGGUAAUACGUAGGGCGCAAGCGUUAUCCGGAAUUAUUGGGCGUAAAGAGCUCGUAGGCGGUUUGUCGCGUCUGCUGUGAAAACCCGAGGCUCAACCUCGGGCCUGCAGUGGGUACGGGCAGACUAGAGUGCGGUAGGGGAGAUUGGAAUUCCUGGUGUAGCGGUGGAAUGCGCAGAUAUCAGGAGGAACACCGAUGGCGAAGGCAGAUCUCUGGGCCGUAACUGACGCUGAGGAGCGAAAGGGUGGGGAGCAAACAGGCUUAGAUACCCUGGUAGUCCACCCCGUAAACGUUGGGAACUAGUUGUGGGGUCCAUUCCACGGAUUCCGUGACGCAGCUAACGCAUUAAGUUCCCCGCCUGGGGAGUACGG
Molecule: ribosomal RNA, 643 nt
Filed under: soil bacterium TWE20
Lineage: Bacteria; Bacillati; Actinomycetota; Actinomycetes
Description: bacterial SSU rRNA
Rfam family: Bacterial small subunit ribosomal RNA
Source: RNAcentral